AUUGAACGCUGGCGGCAUGCCUUACACAUGCAAGUCGAACGGUAACGGGCCUUCGGGUGCCGACGAGUGGCGAACGGGGGAGUAAUACAUCGGAACGUGCCCGAUCGUGGGGGAUAACGAGGCGAAAGCUUUGCUAAUACCGCAUACGAUCUACGGAUGAAAGCAGGGGACCGCAAGGCCUUGCGCGGACGGAGCGGCCGAUGGCAGAUUAGGUAGUUGGUGGGAUAAAAGCUUACCAAGCCGACGAUCUGUAGCUGGUCUGAGAGGAUGAGCAGCCACACUGGGACUGAGACACGGCCCAGACUCCUACGGGAGGCAGCAGUGGGGAAUUUUGGACAAUGGGCGCAAGCCUGAUCCAGCCAUGCCGCGUGCAGGAUGAAGGCCUUCGGGUUGUAAACUGCUUUUGUACGGAACGAAAAGCCUUCUUUUAAUACAGGAGGGUCAUGACGGUACCGUAAGAAUAAGCACCGGCUAACUACGUG
Molecule: ribosomal RNA, 482 nt
Filed under: uncultured bacterium
Lineage: Bacteria
Description: partial 16S ribosomal RNA
Rfam family: Bacterial small subunit ribosomal RNA
Source: RNAcentral